AUGAGAUGAAGUCAAUGUUUGGAC
This 24-nucleotide microRNA is filed under the name Solanum tuberosum (potato). RNAcentral describes it as "stu-miR7980a". Lineage: Eukaryota; Viridiplantae; Streptophyta; Magnoliopsida; Solanales; Solanaceae. The record is from miRBase by way of RNAcentral.